GGAGAGGAGUGGGAUGACCUCGGUGGGCCUGGCCGAUGGCACUCCUAUCGACAUGGACCACCCUUAUGUCUUCAGUGAUAUGACCUCCUACUUCACCCUGCUGGUUGGCAUCUACUUCCCCUCAGUCACAGGGAUCAUGGCUGGUUCUAACCGCUCUGGGGACCUGAGGGAUGCCCAGAAGUCAAUCCCCACUGGCACCAUCCUGGCCAUCGCCACCACCUCUGCUGUCUGUAUCCUGCACAGCUGUGCUGGGACCACCCUCGGGGGAGGGCAAGAGGGAGGGCAGCUGAACUUGCUGCCUUACCUGCUGGUGCAGGAGGGGUGGGGAGGGGGAGGACUGAACCGUGGGGAUUCUCCUUUAUC
RNAcentral lists this small RNA (363 nucleotides) under Pan troglodytes (chimpanzee). Its description in RNAcentral is "retained intron". The record is from RNAcentral. Lineage: Eukaryota; Metazoa; Chordata; Mammalia; Primates; Hominidae.